Molecule: long non-coding RNA, 993 nt
Organism: Triticum dicoccoides
Lineage: Eukaryota; Viridiplantae; Streptophyta; Magnoliopsida; Poales; Poaceae
Exons: 4
Source: RefSeq, a predicted model, not a curated record
GGCCGGCGGUAAAUUCCACCGGUAAAAAACCCUAGCCGCCGCAUGUUCUCGCUCCUUUCAUCUCACCGCCGGCCGCCGCUCCUCCUGGCCUCCACUCACCGAGCUCGCUCUGCCGCCGCCCUUGGCCUCUCCCUCUCCUUCCUCCGCGAUCAACAGGAAGCAUUUCCCUCAUCGGCGCCCAAAAGGAGGGGCGCAUGCCGCUGCCGCAUUCCGCCUCCCCUUCCGCUCAGCGCUCGAGGGCUGCAGGUCGUCGUCGCGCUCAACGGGCGGAGCUCGUGCCGCUGCUGCGCUCCGCCUCUCCCACCCACCUCGUCCGCGCUCGUCAGGAGGAGCACGGGUCGCCGCCGCACUGCACGAGAGGACGCCGAGCCUAGCGUAUGCCGCCCACCCCUUUCUUCUCCGCGAGCCGGAGCAGGGCGUCGACACUGGCGACCUCACUGUCCCCAGGGAUACUCAGUGGUGUGGGGAGGUGGCAUGAUGCUGUUGGAAGUAGUGGUGUGGUUUAGAAGGCCUUCUCAAUGUGUGCUUCGCCCAAGCUAAAAAGCACGGACACGGUAAUGUAUGGAGUUUCUGCCGCUGCCGCUUGGACUCGACCGCCGCCGUCUCCCAAGUGCAGCAGCCUCUCCUCGCGAUGGCAACCACACUCGAGUAGGGAACAUGGUAUGUGAGAUUGGCUUAUGUUCAGAAAGUUACUACUGCAUCCCCUAGACCCCUACUGCUUCGACUGGUAGCCAUGGAGGAAACACCAAAUUUGUUUGCAGCAGACUACAACAAAUGGUGCAAUAUUCUGUUCUCUUUCUCAUUAUUGUUUUUGUCUUUAAUUCUAUGUUACAUGGCAUAUUUUUAUAUGUACUUGCCGUGUCCCCGAUUGGCUUUUUUUGGAAACUGCCGUAUCCCGUGUCCCUGUAUGCGUGUCGGCGCAUCCAAAUCGCCAUAUCCGUGCUUCUUAGCAUUAAGGUUGUAUGCUACAUUUCUUCAAUAUUUUAUUUCUUA